CGCCCGCGCUCUCGGGGCGGACUCCCGGCCCUCCGAGAUCUCCCGCCCGGCGAUGGCCCCGCUCGGAUAUUUCAUAUUCCUCUACGGCCUGAAGCAAGCGCUGGGCAGCUACCCGAUCUGGUGUUUGAGCCCGGCUGCCAGCAACGGAAGAGAAGGAGAGAACCCCACGAACCUCAGGAGCCAGCCCCCUUCAGAAAGGCUCCAAGACCAGAGCCACGAAGGGCAAACCCUACCCUAAUGCUUCAUCAGGAAAUGUUCAAACAUCCAAAAAGAUGCAGGGCUUGAACAA
Molecule: long non-coding RNA, 289 nt
Filed under: Capra hircus (goat)
Lineage: Eukaryota; Metazoa; Chordata; Mammalia; Artiodactyla; Bovidae
Description: lncRNA (ENSCHIG00010009820.1)
Source: RNAcentral